UGUUACAGAGAUACGAGCCUGCAGUCUGGAAAGGGGGAGAACUACUGUGCUGCCAUGAUGUACGAUUCGAGGCAUUUAAACUGGCAUGUCACAAGCUGUGAGAACACAUUCAGGUUCAUCUGUCAAAUCAGUACCCUUUAUACAGGUGGAACAAGUGCCCACCCUGCCAAGAAAGUGUUUUGGUUCAGAAAAGUUGACUCUACCUGGACAAUAAUGCCUCAGCUUCAAGUUGACUGCCUUGAUGAAAACCCACUAGGCUUGGUGGCAGAGGUGGCACCAAACAUCACUGUCUCCUCUGUGUGGUCUGAUGCAGAGUUCUGUCAACCUCAUGAGAGUCAGCUAAACUCUCCCAGUGGCUG
Molecule: long non-coding RNA, 359 nt
Organism: Branchiostoma floridae (Florida lancelet)
Lineage: Eukaryota; Metazoa; Chordata; Leptocardii; Amphioxiformes; Branchiostomatidae
Exons: 3
Source: RefSeq, a predicted model, not a curated record